This is a long non-coding RNA of Fukomys damarensis (Damara mole-rat), 967 nucleotides long. RefSeq lists it as uncharacterized. The record is from RefSeq and is a predicted model, not a curated record. The transcript is spliced from 4 exons. NCBI's taxonomy places the organism in Eukaryota, Metazoa, Chordata, Mammalia, Rodentia, Bathyergidae.
GCUCUCCACUCUUGUUAGUAAUGAUACCGGUAGGCAGUUCUCCGGUUUCAAGGAAGUGUGAAGCCUGUGUUUUCCUGAUUAUCAUCAAAAGUUUCCAAAUGCAACGUGGACAUUCAAUCCUUCGUUUUAAAGAAUGAAGCAGGAUUCACUACAGAUGCCAGACCAGACAGACUUUGUAAAAUUUAAAGGAAAAAAUCAUCAGCCAUCAUCACCAGCGAGAUCAGCAACAAAUUCUUCAGAACCCUAUUAAGCACUGGAACAGAGGAUCGAACUCAGGACCGUGCACUUGCCAGGCAGGUGCGGCACCACUGAGGUACAUCCCCGGAUCGCACAAGACUCUAGGCUUUGAAAGACAGUCUAAGAAAGCAUAGCCUGAAACAGCAUUGAUUUGCAUUAGUCAUAUUUCAUAAGGUAAAAGGUAGCUGAUUAUGUUUGGAACACUGCAAAAGUUGAAAAUAGAAGUACAAUGAGCCAGCACACUUGCUCAGAAUCCUUCAGGAAUGCAUAAUAGAAAGCAACCACCGAUGUCAGCAACGUGGGCUCCUGCCUUCUCCAAAGAGAAUACACCGGGGAGCACAAAGUGAUCCUAUCAUGCAGCAUUUUGUUGAAAUUCUCCCUUAUUAGAAUGUUUUCUUUUGUAUUUCUCUCUCCUACUAUCUACAGUAUGAACUGAUUGCCUGUGCUUUGCACGAACUGUGGAUCUUCUCCCGGGUCCCCUGACAAAGAAUUGAGCUCACAAUUUCUACUCUCAUACCUGCUAUUAUCUUUCCCUUCAAAUACACCAUCUAUCUCGACAGGAACUAAGCUUAGCUGGGAAAAUAUUCCUUGUGGGACUCUGGUUUGUCUUUUGCAUUAUCUAAAAGAUCAGAAUUUAAGUUUGCUUUCAAUAGUGAGCGCGGAUAUAUUUGUUCGAUGAGCAACUUUAGAAUGCACCUUUUAAUUUCAAGUGGGAAACAUCACAGUGAUG